GAUGAACGCUGGCGGCGUGCUUAACACAUGCAAGUCGAACGGAAAGGCCCUGCUUUUGUGGGGUGCUCGAGUGGCGAACGGGUGAGUAACACGUGAGUAACCUGCCCUUGACUUUGGGAUAACUUCAGGAAACUGGGGCUAAUACCGGAUAGGAGCUCCUGCUGCAUGGUGGGGGUUGGAAAGUUUCGGCGGUUGGGGCUGGACUCGCGGCUUAUCAGCUUGUUGGUGGGGUAGUGGCUUACCAAGGCUUUGACGGGUAGCCGGCCUGAGAGGGUGACCGGCGACAAUAGGACUGAGAUACGGCCCAGACGCCUACGGGAGGCAGCGGUGGGGAAUAUUGCACAAUGGGCGGAAGCCUGAUGCAGCAACGCCGGGAGCGGGAUGACGGCCUUCGGGUUGUAAACCGCUUUCGCCUGUGACAAAGCGUGAGUGACGGUAAUGGGUAAAGAAGCACCGGCUAACUACGUG
This 468-nucleotide ribosomal RNA is filed under the name uncultured bacterium. Its description in RNAcentral is "partial 16S ribosomal RNA". It matches the Rfam family "Bacterial small subunit ribosomal RNA", at positions 28 to 507 of the family's 1533-position model. The record is from RNAcentral.